UUUAAUAGUAUAGAUGUAAUAUAGAAAUAAAAAUAAUAAUAAGUUCGAGAUGCUCUUUAACUUAAAAAUGAAUUAUAUUAUAGAUGCCCAGGAUCAAUCAAUGAUAACAUGUUCCACCAAAACUCAAUCUUUCAAUUCUUAUAAUCAAAAGGUUCAUAUUCGUAAGAUAGAAACAUUGUUUUCUGUUAAAAUAAAACAAAAAUAACAAAAAAAAAACAAUUCUUUGAAUCGGAUAAUUAGAUAUAAUAACAUCUUAUAUAUUAAAACAGAAGUCACAACCUUGAUUCAUGUGUGAUUUUUUUUAAAAAUGGACCUAUUCAUAGAAAUUCA
This 330-nucleotide long non-coding RNA is filed under the name Brassica rapa (field mustard). RNAcentral's name for it is "long non-coding RNA (BRAP_LNC006986)". Lineage: Eukaryota; Viridiplantae; Streptophyta; Magnoliopsida; Brassicales; Brassicaceae. The record is from RNAcentral.